CUAGUACUGCGAGUGAAGCGGGAAAAGCUCAAAUUUAAAAUCUGNCAGCAUUUAGCUGUCCGAAUUGUGACCUCGAGAAGUGAUGCCCGCGCUGGACCAUGCACAAGUCUCCUGGGAUGGAGCNUCGCAGAGGGUGAGAAUCCCGUCCGUGGCAUGGAUCGCCAGCGCAGUGUGGUUCGCUCUCAAAGAGUUGAGUUGUUUGGGAAUGCAGCUCGAAAUGGGUGGUAAAUUCCAUCUAAAGCUAAAUACGGGCGAGAGACCGAUAGCGAACAAGUACCGUGAGGGAAAGAUGAAAAGAACUUUGGAAAGAGAGUUAAACAGUACGUGAAAUUGUUGAAAGGGAAACGCUUGAAGUCAGUCGCGUUGUUCNGGGAUCAGUCUGGGUGAAUUUACCNGGAUGCAUUUCCUGUUGCAACGGGUCAUCAUGAGUUUUGACCACUGGAGAAAGGCAUGGGGAAUGUGACACCCUCCGGGGUGUGUUAUAGCUCCGGGUCGCAUGCAGUGGUNGGGACUGAGGGUCGCAGCGCGCCGCAAGGGCAGGGUUUCGNCGACUUUCGCGCUUUGGAUGAUGGCAAAAUGGCUUCAAGCGACCCGUCUUGAAACACGGACCAAGGAGUCCAACAUGCAUGCGAGUGUUUGGGUGGAAAACCCGUGCGCGCAAUGAAAGUGAAAGUUGAGAACCCCGA
Molecule: ribosomal RNA, 686 nt
Filed under: Amanita sp.
Lineage: Eukaryota; Fungi; Basidiomycota; Agaricomycetes; Agaricales; Amanitaceae
Description: LSU rRNA
Rfam family: Eukaryotic large subunit ribosomal RNA
Source: RNAcentral